CAGUUCGCAGAAUAAACACUGAGGGACUGCUCCCUUUGCCAUUGACCGCUCUGCGUCAGAAGCCACGCAGACCCGUUUCAGGUGCACCCAGUUCCUCUCCUUCUCCACCACUCCUGCUGCCAUGGCUGUCCCGUGCACAGCUGCCGCCGUCCUCAGCCUGCUCUCGCUGACCGCAGCUGCCCCGUCCGGCUGCGAGGACGCGCUCACACCCCUGGAGACGGUCAACCACUCUCAGAAUUCUGGGAAAUGGUUCCUUGUUGGAGGAGCUUGUGAAUGCAAGAAAACGCAAACCUGUCUGAGAAAUAUAGAGAAUGCCUGGAUGGAAAUGAUAGUUAACCCUCAGCGUGACAAAAUUUUUCUCAAUGCUGCUGCCAAGAUCAAUGGAUCAUGUCAUUUUUUUCUUGAAAACAUAGAAAUUGUUAAAGCCUCUCUCCUAUUUGACCCUGAACGGGUUGACGACUUGGUCCAUCUAUACAACUGUCCCAGCUGCUUGCUCAUGAAAUUCAACAACACUGAAGACGGGAAAACCAUUCAUUGUGUACAGCUGUGGGCAAGAACCAGGAAUCUCAGUGUUGCGGAGCUGGAUGCACACAAACGCCGAAUGGAGUGUUUUGGCUUAGGAGGCUUGAUCUUGAAGGACCCUGACACAGACCUCUGUCCCAACAACCUGAACUUCUCAUCCAAAGUCUGGUCUAUGAAGCACCAGCUGACCUCUGAGACCCCGCUCAACUGUGAGAAUUUGCUCAGACCGCAGUAUCCGAGUGACCUUACUCAGGUGUCGGGAAACUGGUUCCUUAUUGCCGAAGCAGACAAUAAUUCUAGAAGUUCUAUGGCAGAAGUGGAAAGUGUCUGGAUGAAGAUAUCGCCAACACCACAGAAUGGCACCUUCUACAUCAACACUAUAAUCAAGACCCAUAAGGGUUGUGAGAUAUACAGGACCAACAGAACCAUCGCCCACAAUACUAUCACAGCAGUUUCUUCAGGCAUUGGUCCAAAACAGCAUGUGAUGGAGCUGCUCAGCUGGUCCGACUCUCUGCUCUUGAAGUUCAGCCACAAUGCACAGAGCAAGGUGAUCUUGCAGCUGCAUAUCUGGGGAAGAACCAGGACCCUUAGCGAACCUGUCAUGGACACGUUCAGGAGACACGUGGACUGUCUGGACCUGAGACUCCCUGUGUACAUGGACCCUGAGAAAGAUUUGUGCUCUAAAGAAGGGAUCACCUCAUUUAAAGAGGAUGUCGCCACACACCAGUAUUCCAAGUCGGACUGACGAUGAAAUGCCUGCGAAAAGCGGCCGGCCGGUCCACAGAGAGUGACCGUGACAGACAGGAUCACAGACAUCACUGCCUUGCUCCUGUCAGCUGAAUCCCAUUUCUUCAGCUUCUCUACAUUUCCAGUUCUCACUUCCAAAACAGGAAUAUUCUGGGAAAAAAAUUGAAAGGAAUCUGAUGAAUAAAAUAUUACUGACAUGAAUGUGUUUUUAAUUA
RNAcentral lists this long non-coding RNA (1484 nucleotides) under Scleropages formosus (Asian bonytongue). RNAcentral's name for it is "lncRNA (ENSSFOG00015025235.1)". The record is from RNAcentral. Lineage: Eukaryota; Metazoa; Chordata; Actinopteri; Osteoglossiformes; Osteoglossidae.